GACGAACGCUGGCGGCGCGCUUAACACAUGCAAGUCGAACGGAAAGGCCUGCUUUCCCUUGUGGAUUGCGGGUACUCGAGUGGCGAACGGGUGAGUAACACGUGAGUGAUCUGCCCCCAACUUGGGUAUAAGCCUGGGAAACUGGGUCUAAUUCCCGAUAGGACUGCAGGGUGGUGCCUGUGGUGGAAAACGAUUUUCUAGUGGUUGGGGAUGAGCUCGCGGCCUAUCAGCUUGUUGGUGGGGUAAUGGCCUACCAAGGCGGCGACGGGUAGCCGGCCUGAGAGGGUGGACGGCAACAUUGUGACUGAGAUACGGCCCAGACUCGUACGGGAGGCAGCAGUGGGGAAUAUUGCACAAUGGGCGGAAGCCUGAUGCAGCGACGCCGCGUGGGGGAUGACGGCCUUCGGGUUGUAAACUCCUUUCGACCGCGAGGAAGCCACCUGGUUGGAAGGGUGGUGACGGUAGUGGUAGAAGAAGCACCGGCUAACUACGUG
RNAcentral lists this ribosomal RNA (494 nucleotides) under uncultured bacterium. RNAcentral describes it as "partial 16S ribosomal RNA". It matches the Rfam family "Bacterial small subunit ribosomal RNA", at positions 28 to 507 of the family's 1533-position model. The record is from RNAcentral.